RNAcentral lists this ribosomal RNA (451 nucleotides) under uncultured bacterium. Its description in RNAcentral is "bacterial SSU rRNA". It matches the Rfam family "Bacterial small subunit ribosomal RNA", at positions 45 to 522 of the family's 1533-position model. The record is from RNAcentral.
UGGAUUAGGCAUGCAAGUCGAGCGAGGAAACUUGUAGCAAUAUGAGUUAUUCGAGCGGCGUAAGGGGCAGUAAUACCUGGGAACGUACCCUGAGGUUGGGGAUAGCUGCUAGAAAUGGCGAGUAAUACCCGAUGAUCUCGAGAGAGCAAAGGCUUGCCGCCUUCGGAGCGGCCCAGGCGAUAUUAGCUAGUUGGUGAGGUAAUGGCUUACCAAGGCAAAGAUGUCUAGCGGGUGUGAGAGCACGACCCGCGCCACUGGCACUGAGACACUGGCCAGACACCUACGGGUGGCUGCAGUCGAGAAUCUUCGGCAAUGAGCGCAAGCUUGACCGAGCGACGCCGCGUGCGGGAUGAAGGCCUUCGGGUUGUAAACCGCUUUGGUCCGAGAGAAAGGGCAACUUGAUCGAUCGGAGAAACAAGGACGGGCUAAGUUCGUGCCAGCAGCCGCGGUA